Molecule: long non-coding RNA, 1050 nt
Organism: Daucus carota subsp. sativus
Lineage: Eukaryota; Viridiplantae; Streptophyta; Magnoliopsida; Apiales; Apiaceae
Exons: 3
Source: RefSeq, a predicted model, not a curated record
UUUUGGUGAGAUUAAUAAAAUAACAAAAAAUAUGCAAAUGAUGGGCGAUUUUCUCCAGGUGUUAAUUUAACAAAGACACGACUGAAUCUGCUGCAGCUCCUCCUCCACCUUGACGUUGAAAUUAGUAGCGGAGGAGUAACAAUAAUCGACCGGACCUCCCCCAAUUGUUUGAAUUAUAUAUAAAUUCUUGGGGGGCUGGGAACAUUUUACACACGCAUAUGAUAAAAUGAUAACCCGUGCUAAACUGGUAGAGCAACUUCGUGAAUAUCAGAUCCGCUCUCAACACAAGUACUCCGCUCUCGUUUUCUUCUCUCCUAAACCCCAGAUUCGCACUUGGGCUGAUGUUACUGUGGCUAUCCUGCUUCUAGCAUUGUUCAGCAUCCUUGUAAUCUCAUCAUUAGUAACCCUCUAUUUCAGACACUUCUGGCUUUGUUUGUCGAUUAUAUGUAUCGGUAUUUUUAUUCCAUUGCGUUUGCGCAAUUCUCGGAAAUCACUUGCAAGGAAAAGGGAAAGAAGAAUGUUAUUACCUCUGUCUAUGUGAAUAUGAGCAUCCAAUUACAAUCAAAAGUUUUGCCAGUAAUCCCAUGCUAUGUUGGCCCUUCCUUUAAGGAGAUUAGACAAGGAAACGAUGAGUUCCACUUGUGCAGAAAGCUGGAAUUUGUCGGCCAAUCAAGACUCCACUAACUCCACAAUUAUACUACAAGAAGUUGUAUUAGGGUAAUCUUAUUUGUGGUCCCACAAUUGAUCAAGAUUAAAACUGAAUGAUGCUGAUGAUUAUCACUCCAUGUUAAUGAUGCAUGAACCCUCAAAGAUACACCACAACUUGGUUGGAGGGGGACCUGAGGGUCGAUGUGACAUAGCCGAAAGCAAAAGUUAGCUAGCCUGAAGACCAUAUGGUUACUUGCCUUUUUUCAUGCUUAGCUUUCUUACUCUGCAUGCUUCUUUGCUUUUAUUCAGCACUGUAUAGAAUCAUUGUGUUGCCCCUGCAAGUAUUAAGUGAUUGUCUCGAGUUCUCGAACCAUUUAAAAGUGAAAGAUAGUUUUUUUUUUC